AUACGGAGGAUCCGAGCGUUAUCCGGAUUUAUUGGGUUUAAAGGGUGCGCAGGCGGCCAUUUAAGUCAGCGGUUAAAUCGUGGGGCUCAACCCCAUUCUGCCGUUGAUACUGGGUGGCUUGAUUGCGGUCGAGGUUGGCGGAAUUCGUUGUGUAGCGGUGAAAUGCAUAGAUAUGACGAAGAAAACCGAUUGCGUAGGCAGCAGACCAGACCGCAAAUGACGCUCAUGCACGAAAGUGCGGGGAUCGAACAGGAUUAGAUGCCCUGGUAGUCCGCACAGUAAACGAUUAAUACUUGGUUUCGGCGAGAUAAUGUCGGAGGCAAAGCGAAAGCGAAAAGGAUUCCACCUGGGGAGUACGCCGGCACCGGUGAUACUGAAAGGAAUUGACGGGG
Molecule: ribosomal RNA, 392 nt
Filed under: uncultured bacterium
Lineage: Bacteria
Description: partial 16S ribosomal RNA
Rfam family: Bacterial small subunit ribosomal RNA
Source: RNAcentral